AAGUCGUAACAAGGUUUCCGUAGGUGAACCUGCGGAAGGAUCAUUAUUGAAUUGUGAAUGGGGCUUGAUGCUGGCUUGUCCAUCCUUUGGCUGCAUGUGCUCGCCCCAGCAAUCCUUUUCCAAACACCUGUGCACCUUCCUUGUGAGAAUGGGAGAGAAAGGGCUUGCCUCUUUUAUCUCGUCUCAUUGAUUACAUAACGCUUGUUUGAUAAUGUUAGAAUUGCAUUUAUGCCAGGUCUAAACGGCAUUUAACCUAAUUAC
This 261-nucleotide unclassified non-coding RNA is filed under the name plant metagenome. RNAcentral's name for it is "partial contains small subunit ribosomal RNA and internal transcribed spacer 1". The stretch from base 1 to 46 matches the Rfam family "Eukaryotic small subunit ribosomal RNA", at positions 1786 to 1831 of the family's 1831-position model. The record is from RNAcentral.